AUGUGUAAGUAGAGUUGAUAUAAGGCGAAACUGCGAACGGCUCAUUACAACAGAUAUAAUUUACUUGUUCUCAUCCCUAAACGGAUAACUGCGGUAAUUCUGGAGCCAAUACGUGCACCAAAGCGCGAUCUCACUUGUGAGUCGUGUGCACUUAUCGGAGCAAAACCAAACCUUCGGGUCGGAUGCUAACUCUGGAUAAUACUGCUUAUCGCAUGGCCUCGUGCCGGCGAAGUGACAUUCAAGUAUCUGCCCUAUCAAUUAUCGUUGUUAGUGUAUUGGACUAACAAGAUGGUGACGGGUAACGGAGAAUCAGGGUUCGACUCCGGAGAGGCCGCCUUAGAAACGGCGACCAUGUCUAAGGAUAGCAGCAGGCGCGAAAAUUACCCACUGCUCACUCUGAGCGAGGUAGUGACGAGAAAUAACAAAGCCGUUCUCUAUGAGGUCGGCUAUUGGAAUGGGUACAACCUAGACGAUUUAACGAGUAUCAACGAGAGGGCAAGUCUGGUGCCAGCAGCCGCGGUAAUUCCAGCUCUCGUAAUGUAUAGAAUUAUUGUUGCGGUUAAAAAGUUCGUAGUUGGAUUGUCUCGCCGCGGCGGGUCGGCCUUAACGGGCUCGUACUCGUGGCGGCAUUUGCGUCUUCGCCCCCGCGCCCCUAACGGGGACGGGAGCGUGGCGCGGAUUACUUUGAACGGCUUACGUGCUCAAGACAAGUCAUCGUGACUGAUUACCGGUGCAUGGAAUAAUGGAACAAGGUCUCGGCCGAGUUUUGUUGGUUUUGUCGGCUGAAACAAUGGUUAACAGGGACAGCUGGGGGCAUUCGUAUCGCUGCGCGAGAGGUGAAAUUCGUGGACCGCAGCGAGACGCACUAAAGCGAAGGCAUUYGCCAAGAGUGUUUUCAUUAAUCAAGAACGAAAGUCAGAGGUUCGAAGGCGAUUAGAUACCGCCCUAGUUCUGACCGUAAACGAUGCCAACUAUCGAUCCGCCUGUGGACCCAAAAUUCAUAGGCGGGGAGGUCGCCGGAAACGAAAGUCUUUCGGUUCCGGGGGAAGUAUGGUUGCAAAGCUGAAACUUAAAGGAAUUGACGGAAGGGCACCACCAGGAGUGGAGCUUGCGGCUUAAUUUGACUCAACACGGGAAAACUCACCCGGCCAGUACAUCGUAAGGAUUGACAGAUUGAAAGCUCUUUCAUGAUUCGGUGAAUGGUGGUGCAUGGCCGUUCUUAGUUCGUGGCGUGAGUCGUCUGCUUAAUUGCGAUAACGAGCGAGACUCCGAUUGUUAACUAGUCGAGGCGUUGAUUCGUCUGCACCUCCGACUUCUUAACGAGAUCGGGCGCUUCAAGCGCCAAGAGAUGGAGCAAUAACAGGUCUGUGAUGCCCUUAGAUGUUCGGGGCUGCACGCGUGCUACAAUAGUAGCAACAACGGGAUUGUCCUCGCCCGACAGGGCUUGGCAAACCGCUGAGAUGUUAUUAUGGCUGGAAUUGAGUGUUGAAAUUCUCUCUCAUGAACGAGGAAUUCCAAGUAAAUUGCGAGUCAUCAACUCGCAUUGAUUACGUCCCUGCCCUUUGUACACACCGCCCGUCGCUGCCCGGGACUGAGUUAUUUCGAGAAAUCCACGGAUUUGCGGGCCUCGGCCACGCGGAAAAGUGGCUUAAUCGCGAUGGCUUGAACCGGGC
This 1673-nucleotide ribosomal RNA is filed under the name Robustodorus subtenuis. RNAcentral describes it as "SSU rRNA". It matches the Rfam family "Eukaryotic small subunit ribosomal RNA". The record is from RNAcentral. Lineage: Eukaryota; Metazoa; Nematoda; Chromadorea; Rhabditida; Aphelenchoididae.